RNAcentral lists this ribosomal RNA (462 nucleotides) under Triticum aestivum (bread wheat). Its description in RNAcentral is "partial small subunit ribosomal RNA". The record is from RNAcentral. Lineage: Eukaryota; Viridiplantae; Streptophyta; Magnoliopsida; Poales; Poaceae.
AUGUCUCCUGCAUUAUGUACCAUGCCAGUAAAAUUGGCAAAAUUGUCUGGAAUGGGUCCAAUGAGAUUAUUUUUUGACAAGUCCAAUACAUGGAGUUGCUGGAAUUUUAAUAUCUGGUGGGGUAUGAUUCCAUCAAACAUAUUUGAUUAUAAUCGAAGAACAAUGAGAUUUGGCAAGCUCUUGCUUACCCAAGAAGGUAUUCUACCAGAGAAAUUAUUGCCUCCAAGAUCUAGAGUGAUAAGGUUUUUGCAUUUCCUAAGACCCAAAGGAAAGGUUCCUUCGAAAUGGUUAUUGGCUAGGCGUAAACAUACAAGAUUAUUGUUGCAAGUCUUCCAAAAGGGAACUACACCACUGAAAGAAUUGCUAGAAAGAUCCAUGUAUCCCAAACUUGGCAUGUCCCACAAACACUUGGGGAGACCUCCAUCUAAUAAAUUGUUUGAUAGGUCUAGGAAGCUUAAAUAA